Molecule: long non-coding RNA, 328 nt
Organism: Zophobas morio
Lineage: Eukaryota; Metazoa; Arthropoda; Insecta; Coleoptera; Tenebrionidae
Exons: 4
Source: RefSeq, a predicted model, not a curated record
UACUAAAUAAAUGUUCCCGUUUUAUUCUACCUAGACCUUAAGCCAUCAACCCUUUUUAUUACAAAGAAUUUAUGGUUGAACCUUCCGAGUCAAGAACAAAAUUGGUAACAGAUGCGGUGGCAGAGGAGCGACAUAUUAUCAAAAACGCUUGCGUUUUAUACACGAAUCUGGGCUGUCUAUGCUCUAUGGCGUUAUUACAGGCUUAAUUAUCAAGCUCUUUAGCGCUAACAAUAAGGAGUUACAGUCCACUGCACUUUUUGACCCCUCAAUAUUUUUUUAUAUGCUCUUACCACCUAUCAUUUUUGCAGCUGGUUACAAAAUUCAAAAG